Molecule: ribosomal RNA, 468 nt
Filed under: uncultured bacterium
Lineage: Bacteria
Description: partial 16S ribosomal RNA
Rfam family: Bacterial small subunit ribosomal RNA
Source: RNAcentral
AACGAACGCUGGCGGCGUGCUUAACACAUGCAAGUCGAACGAAAAGUCCCUACUUUUUUGCGGUGCUCGAGUGACGAACGGGUGAGUAGCCCGUGAGUAACCUACCCUUGACUUUGGGAUAACUUCAUACAACUUGGGCUCAUCCCGGGUAGGAUCUCCCGCUGCUUGGUGGGCGUUGGAAAGUUUCGGCAGUUGGGGAUGUACUCGCGGCCUAUCGGCUUGGUGGGUGGGUAGUGGCUUAGCAAGGCUUUGACGGGUAGCCGGGCUGAGAGGGUUACCGGACAAAUCGGGACUGAGAUACGGCCCAGACUCGUACGGUAGGCAGGGGUGGGGAAUAUUGUACAACGGGCGGAAGGCUGAUGCAGCAACGCCGCGCGGGGGAUGACGGCCUGGGGGUUGGAAACCGCUAUCGUCUGUGACGAAGCGUUAGUGACGGUAAUGGGUAAAGAAGCCCCGGCUAACUACGUG